GACGAACGCUGGCGGCGUGCUUAACACAUGCAAGUCGAACGGAAAGGCCCUGCUUUUGUGGGGUGCUCGAGUGGCGAACGGGUGAGUAACACGUGUGUAACCUGCCCUUGACUUUGGGAUAACUUCAGGAAACUGGGGCUAAUACCGGAUAGGAGCUCCUGCUGCAUGGUGGGGGUUGGAAAGUUUCGGCGGUUGGGGAUGGACUCGCGGCUUAUCAGAUUGUUGGUGGGGUAGUGGCUUACCAAGGCUUGGACGGGUAGCCGGCCUGAGAGGGUGACCGGCCACAUUGGGACUGAGAUACGGCCCAGACUCCUACGGGAGGCAGCAGUGGGGAAUAGUGCACAAUGGGCGGAAGCCUGAUGCAGCAACGCCGCGUGCGGGAUGACGGCCUUCGGGUUGUAAACCGCUUUCGCCUGUGACGAAGCGUGAGUGACGGUAAUGGGUAAAGAAGCACCAGCUAACUACGUG
This 468-nucleotide ribosomal RNA is filed under the name uncultured bacterium. RNAcentral's name for it is "partial 16S ribosomal RNA". It matches the Rfam family "Bacterial small subunit ribosomal RNA", at positions 28 to 507 of the family's 1533-position model. The record is from RNAcentral.